This 1496-nucleotide long non-coding RNA is filed under the name Mytilus galloprovincialis (Mediterranean mussel). Lineage: Eukaryota; Metazoa; Mollusca; Bivalvia; Mytilida; Mytilidae. The record is from RNAcentral.
CUACUAGGUCAACAUCAAUAACGUACUAGUAUGUCAUCUUCAGAACAAGAUCACUAUUGUAUUGGACUUACUGAUCUAACGGAAGGAACAUGGCGUUGGAGUUAUGACCAGACACUAGCCACAUAUAAACCAUGGUAUAUUGGACGGGGAAGUAAAGGGACAAGUUACAACUGUGGGUUGAUAUAUCAUGACAGUUCUUAUACGUGGCUAGAUGAGCCUUGUACUUCCAAGCAUAGAUACGUGUGUGAAAGUCAUUUCUGUAAGUAUAAUUGAUAUGAAAUCUUACUAAAAAUGUAAAUGAUACACCAAAAAUAAUGAAACUGAAAUCGACAUGUCACAACAUUUUUAGUAAAAACAUAACUUUAAAUCAUAAGCUAUGGAUUAUUUUCAGUUCCUGAUUGGGGCGAGUUUGACUAGUCUUCGUAAAAUGAAUUGUUCUCGUAAACCACAAUUUCGGGAACAAAAAAAACCAGCUAAGCUAAAGUCAUAUUACCUAAUUGAACUUCUGUAGCAUCAUCGGUUCACGAUUACAUGAUUGUGGUUAACAUAUUACUUUAUUAAACAUAUAAAGGUUAUCACAUAUGUAUGUGCUAUAUAUCAAAUGUAAAAGUAUAAAAAAAGAAACUAAGAAUUACAAAAUCUGUUUUGAAUUGAAAUGCAAUUUCGACAAGGUUUUUCUGCAUGAAAUAUUUUUGAGCACAAGAUUUUUCCGAAAUUGUUCUAUCAAAUUAUAAGGCGUAAAACAUUUUCAAUGAACAUUAAUUUCAAAGAAUUAACGAGGGAAAAUUUGUUCUUGUACUAUCAUACAAUCGAUAAUACGGCACAAUAAUGUCAUAUAUAGUAAACUAUGAAAAAUCUAAAUUGCGAAUAUAUAUAGUUAGAUAUAUAUGUUUCAUACAUAUUUCAAUGUAUUCAGAAAUUCUUAGAAACUCGUGAUGACGAUUUACAAGAUGAUUCGUCAUUUAAUUUAACUAAGUGGUGAUAACAACUUAUCUGUAUUUAUCUAAGCAGAUGUGAAUUAAAUAUGAUCUACACAGAAACUAAAUCUCUGAAUAUCAGAAAUGUUUAGAAUAUUCACAUUUCGUAUCUAAAACAUAAAAGUAAUUGUUUGGGGCAUUUUUCCGGAUAUGCUUUAUUUGGUAUCUCUCAAGUUUUUUUUAUAAACUGCACAAUCUUUAGUUGAAAAUGUGUUAUUAAUUGUUAUUUGUACGUUAAUAAAUUUUGUAAUUUAAUUUUACAGGCUACUAGAAUGUGAAGUAAAACUGGCUUAAGUAUCUAAUACCGAGGAUAUAAUGUGAACGUACCUUCUACAUGCCACAUCCAUCAUAUGUACUUAUACAUGUUAUAUGUUAUAUGUUUUUACUGUAACAGUUUGAAUAGUUUAUAUAAACAAAACUCAGAAUACGCUUAAAUAGCAAUAAAACUAGGAUCACCUAAAGUUAACAGAACAUCUUGCUUGUUCUUUGAUGUUAUCUUAUUCCCUCUCCCGUAAUUAA